Molecule: long non-coding RNA, 475 nt
Filed under: Capsicum annuum
Lineage: Eukaryota; Viridiplantae; Streptophyta; Magnoliopsida; Solanales; Solanaceae
Description: long non-coding RNA (CANN_LNC011538)
Source: RNAcentral
CUUGGUACACCUUUUGAGGAAGAAAUAAGUGUAGGUGCUCACGAUAUGGAUUAUAUAAAAACUCAGGAAAAUUACUGUAUAGAAGAAGAAAAUGAAGUAGAUGCGGUUAAUUUAGACGAAGAUAAUGAAAAUAUUGUUGAGAUAUCCGCAGUAGGAGAUGCUAACGUUAGAUCUGAAUCGGUUAAUCUCCUUCUCCGUCCUUCCAGUGCCUCAAGAUCUCGUAAAAAAACUAGUGUUACAUGACAAUUUUUUGAAUGUAUAUCAGAUAUUGAGGUGCAAUGCAAUAUUUAUCAACAAAUAUAUAAGCAUAGAAGUGGAGGCAAGCAAGGGGUACGGGUAUGUUAAUGAGACAUAUAGUUGAAAAUCACAAAAGAGAGUUAAAUAUUACACAAGGUGGUGGGGAUGUUGGUGGGCCAACGCAAACUAAAAUGGACCCAGCAACCGGUCACGUAGCGAAGAAGUAUAAUAAAUUGAG